UUGCCCACGCGCCGCCACAAGCGCCGGCAGCGCUGGGUGUCCAAAGCGAUUACGUAUCGCCGGAAAAUCUCAAAACCACAGCUCAAGACUCCUACCCUAGGUAUAACACCCUAUUUGGAGCCACUUUUGUUCUUAAACCUACCCCAGAAACUGACCGGAAGUGGCCGAAAUCGCGAUUCCAAAAUCGGCCGAACCCUAACUUAAAAAUCG
RNAcentral lists this long non-coding RNA (210 nucleotides) under Prunus persica (peach). RNAcentral describes it as "long non-coding RNA (PPER_LNC002219)". The record is from RNAcentral. Lineage: Eukaryota; Viridiplantae; Streptophyta; Magnoliopsida; Rosales; Rosaceae.